RNAcentral lists this ribosomal RNA (468 nucleotides) under uncultured bacterium. RNAcentral describes it as "partial 16S ribosomal RNA". It matches the Rfam family "Bacterial small subunit ribosomal RNA", at positions 28 to 507 of the family's 1533-position model. The record is from RNAcentral.
GACGAACGCUGGCGGCGUGCUUAACACAUGCAAGUCGAACGGAAAGGCCCUGCUUUUGUGGGGUGCUCGAAUGGCGAACGAGUGAGUAACACGUGAGUAACCUUCCCUUGACUAUGGGAUAACUUCAGGAAACUGGGGCUAAUACCGGAUAGGAGCUCCUGCUGCAUGGUGGGAGUUGGAAAGUUUCGGCGGCUGGGGAUGGACCCGCGGCAGAUCAGCUUGUUGGUGGGGUAGUGGCUUACCAAGGCGUUGACGGGUAGCCGGCCUGGGAGGGUGACCGGCCACAUUGGCACUGAGACACGGCCUAGACUCCUACUGGAGGUAGCAGUGGCGAAUAUUGCACAAUGGGCGGAAGCCUGAUGCAGCAACGCCGCGCGCGGGAUGAACGCCUUCGGGUUGUAAACCGCUUUCGCCUGUGACGAAGCGUGAGUGACGGUAAUGUGUCAAGAAGCACGGGAUAACUACGUG